This 313-nucleotide long non-coding RNA is filed under the name Carica papaya (papaya). Its description in RNAcentral is "long non-coding RNA (CPAP_LNC005813)". The record is from RNAcentral. Lineage: Eukaryota; Viridiplantae; Streptophyta; Magnoliopsida; Brassicales; Caricaceae.
CGAAGCAGAAAAAUGAAAGACAGUGACAACAAAAGAAACUAAACUUUCCUGAGAUUUUGAUGGAAUAGCAUCCACUGCAGCCUUGGUGAAGUUUGCGAAAAACUAUCUGACGGUGGGUAGGGUGGGGGAUGGAAUCCUACAUGCUGAAAAUAUGCCAUUAUAUAAUGCUCCAUUCGCCUUUGGCAUUCUUCAAUUUUUUCUCGUCCCAUACUAAGCUGCUCUAAUCUCUCCUAUGUGGUGGAACUUGAACCAGAACCUGCUCCUGCAUCGACCUGGGGAGAAUUAGGCUCACCCUUAUCCAUGGGUCCCGACC